This 255-nucleotide ribosomal RNA is filed under the name uncultured Hyphomicrobiales bacterium. Its description in RNAcentral is "uncultured Rhizobiales bacterium partial 16S ribosomal RNA". It matches the Rfam family "Bacterial small subunit ribosomal RNA", at positions 136 to 407 of the family's 1533-position model. Lineage: Bacteria; Pseudomonadati; Pseudomonadota; Alphaproteobacteria; Hyphomicrobiales. The record is from RNAcentral.
CUGCGGGAUAACAGAGAGAAAUUUCUGCUAAUACCGCAUGUGCCCUUUUGGGGAAAGAUUUAUCGGCUUAAGAUGAGCCCGCGUUGGAUUAGCUGGUUGGUAGGGUAAAGGCCUACCAAGGCGACGAUCCAUAGCUGGUCUGAGAGGAUGAUCAGCCACACUGGGACUGAGACGCGGCCCGGACUCCUACGGGAGGCAGCAGUGGGGAAUAUUGGACAAUGGGCGCAAGCCUGAUCCAGCCAUGCCGCGUGAGUG